CACUUAUACAAACAGAAAACGAACCAAACUGUUUAAAAACCUUGAACAACAUUCAAACACCUCGCGUCUCUCUCUCGCGUCUGCGACUUACUUGCUUCUUUUAAGCACAGCCUCGUCAGACAAACACGAAACAGCUGCGCCACGCCCCCAGGAGUACCGCUGCAGAGAGACUUUUGGAGCGAGCUGCGCCGGGACAGAGCCGCGGAACGUUGCGGGAUUUGGGGAAGGAGUGGCGCCGUGCAGGACCGGGCUGGUCCUAAGGACGCUGCGCUGUUUCCCUGGAACAACAUUGCGAGGGGAGACGGCAGGACCUGUCGAGGGCGGAGAGUUCCGUCUCCCGCUCUGCAGAACACUAAGGCGAUAUCCAGCAUCGGGGCCGGCGCCGACUCGCUUCCCAGCGGCUAGAUGGUGACCCAAUCCAGUUAAAAGAUGAGGGGAAUAAAUGCUUCCAGGCGGGUGAAGUUGACAAGGCCAUUGAAUGUUACACCAACGCCAUGAAGACCUGCAAGGACAAUAAUGUGCUGGCUGUGCUUAAAAGAAGCAACGGUCUUCCGAGGUUGCGGUGGUUGCCGUAGCUGCGAACCCGGACAGUAGUACCGCUGCACAGAGAGACUUUUGGAGCGAGCUGCGCCGGGGCAGAGCCGCGGAACGUUGCGGGAUUUGGGGAAGGAGUGGCGCCGUGCAGGACCGGGCUGGUCCUAAGGACGCUGCGCUGUUUCCCUGGAACAACAUUGCGAGGGGAGACGGCAGGACCUGUCGAGGGCGGAGAGUUCCGUCUCCCGCUCUUCAGAACACUAAGGCGAUAUCCAGCACCGGGGCCAGCGCCCACUCGCUUCCCAGCGGCUAGGCGCAGCCGGGGCUCCUUACACGGAACUUUGUGCAACUUCUCUGUGGGGGAAGGGGGUGCCUAGUAGUUGGGUGGGUUCGGCAUAGAAAAUAAUAGGACCGUGGAGGGGGCGGGAGUCAGCUGGUGCUGACAAUUUUACAGACCCGUAUACAUGUAAACAGACUUACUGACAAGGACCUGUGUGAGACAUGUGGCUGUUCCCCUCCACCACCCGCUCCCCUUUUGAAAAUUGAGCAGAAACUUGCGAGAUUUGUGCCAAAGUAAAAAAUAUUAAAUAAAUAAAAAAACUGUAAUAACCAAACUGUCACCAUGGCCAAAACAUUGAGUAAUCAUACUUGUUACUUCCUAAAUUAGGUCUUUUGAGGUUUUCAUUCAGUGUCAGGGUUGAUGAGGGAAGUUUUUGAAUUACUUUUUAAAGCAUUUGUUAAAUCCAACCACUGUGCUGGGUAAACAAUACACCACAUUGAACUGAAGAGAAACCAGACAAGAGGGGACACAAACCCCCACACUGAAGAGAAGGCCACACCACAGGC
Long non-coding RNA from Conger conger (European conger), 1380 nucleotides. RefSeq lists it as uncharacterized. The record is from RefSeq and is a predicted model, not a curated record. NCBI's taxonomy places the organism in Eukaryota, Metazoa, Chordata, Actinopteri, Anguilliformes, Congridae. The transcript is spliced from 3 exons.